GCCCGAGUGGUGGAAUGGCAGACACAGGAGACUUAAAAUCUCCUGACCGCGAGGUCGUGCGGGUUCGAUCCCCGCCUCGGGUA
This 83-nucleotide transfer RNA is filed under the name Bacteroidales bacterium. Its description in RNAcentral is "tRNA-Leu". It matches the Rfam family "tRNA". From Rfam's summary of the family: Transfer RNA (tRNA) molecules are approximately 80 nucleotides in length. Lineage: Bacteria; Pseudomonadati; Bacteroidota; Bacteroidia; Bacteroidales. The record is from RNAcentral.